This 74-nucleotide transfer RNA is filed under the name Planctomycetia bacterium. RNAcentral's name for it is "tRNA-Asn". It matches the Rfam family "tRNA". From Rfam's summary of the family: Transfer RNA (tRNA) molecules are approximately 80 nucleotides in length. Their secondary structure includes four short double-helical elements and three loops (D, anti-codon, and T loops). The record is from RNAcentral. Lineage: Bacteria; Pseudomonadati; Planctomycetota; Planctomycetia.
GCCUCGAUAGCUCAAUUGGUCAGAGCGACGGACUGUUAAUCCGUAGGUUCAAGGUUCAAGUCCUUGUCGAGGCG